CUCGGCGCGGUUCGGAUGCGUUCGGCUCCGUUCGGGUCCGCUCGGGUCGGUUCGGAUCCGUUCGGCUCCGCUCGGCAGCGGCCACGUGCCGUCGCCUCCCUGGGCCGCGCCCGGGUGCUUCAAGGCCUGGGUGAAAGGGGGGCGGGAAGGCGUCGGUGCCCGGCAGCCUCACCGUUACUGAGGCGUUUUCUCCGUCCCUGGGGGGCAUUUUUGCCAUCACUGGGGUAUUUUCAUCAUCUUCACCAGCACUGUGGGGCCGGACACCGAGCGCCCUUUCUGAGACUGUUAGGGCAUUGGUGUGGCGUAAAUUGUGUCAUUUGUAAGGAAAUGUAUUGUUAGGGCAGAGCUGAAGUGGGAAUCAGGUGUCUAUCAUUCAUCAUCCUGCUGUCAUGAAGAAUGUUUAUGGCUGUGAAAUAGCCGUUCUUCCGUUAUUUUGGUGAAUAGGGCAAGCAGUGGACAAGCACCUUGUACUAGGUGCUGUACAAGCAGAGAACAAAAGAUGCGCUGUGCCCCCAAAGACCUUACGGUCUCACAGACACAGCCCUACAGGUGUUGUAACACAAUUUGGUUCUGGAAUCUGGAAUCUAUCUAUUAAAAAAUAAAUAAAAAGCAAUAACAGUCCAGCAUUGGAUGGGAAGCACCACAGUGCCCUCCAGCCUCCCAGGCUGCCAAUCUGAAAUUCAUAAUUGGGAAUUAUUUGGCCAGAGCCUGCCGGGACACCUGUGCCCAAUGUGCUUUGGGGUGCACAGGAGGAAACCCUUUUUCUGCGAUGACUGCGACGACCGCAGCACCACGCUUGUGUCAAGUUGGGCAGAAAUCCAGUCAGCUUUGCUCACCUGGUCACACGUUGGGCUGCUUGUGGUGCCAGCCAUGCACACACGCACGCUCAGCUUCGGAACACACUUUAAAUCGGGUUCUCCCCUAUGCCAUCCUCCUCCUCCAAAAGUGGUCCUGCUAUUUUCAACAGAAAUAAAAUCGUGAUUUUUCAGCACAUACAGCUGCAGCAUGGGCAUGUCUUUGAGAUGAAAACCUCAAGCAAACUGCGCUACGCGUGCAAUGUGCAAAAUUAAAGAGCUAUAACUUGGGCAAAAUAAAGAUAAUUUCUAUGGUAAUGUGCAAAGGUACUUCAUGAUGAAAUCAAUUUCCUUGUAAACGCUGUGUGCCCCUGCUUUUAUCUAUAGACCUGCUCAAAGGAGGUUGAUAGGAAUGGUGCGAAGUUUUUAUUUACUGGGAAUCCAGAGCUGAACAACAUACAGGUCAUAAAUGCCACUUGAACAGCUUGAGUCUGUCUUUGGACCAAGAAGCGAUUAAAAAUGUUUUGUUGGAACUUCAUCACGAGAAAGUAAAUCUGCCUGGGUAUAAACAUACCUGGCUCAAAAAGGAGAUGUUUCGGCAAUUCACUGGGGUCCUGAUCCUUGGCAGUGUCUCCUCCGUGAGGCCACUAAUAAUAAAAAAAUAAAUAAAUGCAAUGCGUGCUGUCCAACAUAUAUUUUGUGUCUACAUUCAUGUAAAGUCUUUUUCUUCCUUUUGUUUCACUCGUGAAGUCUAAACUGUAAUUUUCAACAGCAGAAGAAAUGAUUUUCUCCUGACGCGUCCUUCCCUGACGGUAGGAAACGACUUUCCCCUGCGUCCCAUCUCUUCCGCGCUCGUUCCUCCUCUCCGUUUGCACUGGGCUUCGUGCCUCCCCUUCUUCCACUGCUAGUUUAUGGUGCUUGAGACAGACAGAUGGACAGAGUGGAGCACACGACUGCACGCACACACACACGUUUUUCCCUCUGGAGAGCAAUGCAGAAUGCCACCAGCAUACCUGCGCGCUGUUUAAAACGCCGCUUAAGUGGAAACUUCAGGAAGUGUGGCAGUGGGGAUGAAACAGCGCGGUUAAAACAGCCGCUGACCCUGGUCUCUCAAAACACAUAUCUGCCCAAGGCAAAUAUCCUAAUACUCAGCCAUAUUUUAAUUUUAACAGCAGCCUUCCCGCUGCUUUCUGGGGCCACCACUGGGGAGAAAGAGGCCUCACUAUUUUCCUUGCCUCAGUGCUCGUACUCCUCAUAGGCCUGGCUAGACUUUAUUUUGGCUUGUGCACCACUUUCGGGGCAGGCUGACCUCUUUACCAGACGCUAGCUUGUCGUAACCUGUAAGCAUCCAACGUCCUGUUUUACAGGCGCAAGGGAGUCGUCGAUGUUUCUCCUCCCGCCCUCUCUGUCAGCAUUGUCUCUGCAGGACAAAUUUCGGCAGCCACCGAGCGCUGCCCCUGUGCCUGUGUCUGCAUGUACACCGCCUCCUUUUCUCCAGGGGCUCACCAUUUUGCUGACUGACCAUCUUCAGGCUCUGUUUUGGGAUGAACAGCAUUGUUGUGGGCAGCGUUCAAAAGGCAAAACCACGCCGAGCCUUCACGAUGGGAAUCUCGCUGUCGUACCAAACGUCCACAGGCUCAUGCUCGCCUCCCCUUUUGCAUCUCCGAACGUGAUGAACGAGACCAAGGAGCCACCUCGGCGGCGAGCGCAGCAGCGAGCGGCAAGAAUGCCACCAACUGAAUCGGGAGUGGGAUCAGAGCUCCACCCGAUGCAAAGGGCAGAAAGGAUCACCCCCUGUCCCAUCCCAUGCUUGCUGCACUGAGCAUGGUGGGUUUCCACAUGGCACAUGCUGGAUGCACAGGACCCCAACAGAGCAUCCUCCUGAGGUUGUUUUUAACCUCAGGUAUACAAUCAUUUAUUUAAAAUAGGCUUCAAAAUAAACUUCUUGUUUCUCUGUGCAUUUGCAGUUGAUUGAGGUGGAUAUAGGAAAAAUAAGGUUAUUUGUUCUAGUUUAACACAACACGUAAUAGAACCCAAAAUAAAGUCAAUGGUGGCC
Cygnus olor (mute swan) is the source of this 2850-nucleotide long non-coding RNA. RefSeq lists it as uncharacterized. The record is from RefSeq and is a predicted model, not a curated record. NCBI's taxonomy places the organism in Eukaryota, Metazoa, Chordata, Aves, Anseriformes, Anatidae. The transcript has 3 exons.